Molecule: ribosomal RNA, 265 nt
Filed under: uncultured bacterium
Lineage: Bacteria
Description: partial 16S ribosomal RNA
Rfam family: Bacterial small subunit ribosomal RNA
Source: RNAcentral
UACGGAGGGUGCAAGCGUUAAUCGGAAUUACUGGGCGUAAAGCGCGCGUAGGUGGUUUGAUAAGCGAGAUGUGAAAGCCCCGGGCUUAACCUGGGAACGGCAUUUCGAACUGUCAGGCUAGAGUAUGGUAGAGGAGUGUGGAAUUUCCUGUGUAGCGGUGAAAUGCGUAGAUAUAGGAAAGAACACCAGUGAGCGGCACUCUGGACCAAUACUGACACUGAGGUGCGAAAGCGUGGGGAGCAAACAGGAUUAGAUACCCCUAGUC